AAACAAGUUACAUUUAGUUGACCAAACAAAACCUGAGUCUCUCCACCGUACACGAAAAAGACGGCCCGUUGGCCCGGAAUUAUUACCGUCUGUUUGUCCUCGUCUCCCUCCGCUGUCCGAUUGUGCGCUGUCGCAGCCUCUGCCCUCUCCCAGCCCGCUCCUCCAUCUCCGGUGAGACGCGAAUUGAAUCGCAUCGAAUCCAUGGGCAGCUCCUCGAAUACCAACACGAGCGGCGGGGCCAGCGACAAGGAGGAGAAGAAGAAGGAGGACAAGAUCAAAGGCAAGGACUCGUCGGGGCCAUCCUUCAAGGAGAACGAAAGGGUCCUCGCCUACCACGGCCCCCUCCUCUACGAGGCCAAGGUUCAAAGGAUCGAAAACCAUGAAGAUGAAUGGCGCUACUUUGUCCAUUAUCUCGGUUGGAAUAAGAACUGGGAUGAAUGGGUUGCAAAUGACCGCUUGUUGGAAUUGACGGAGGAAAACGUGCGCAAACAACAAGAGCUUGAUAAGAAUCAGGUAGUUGACAAAACAAUGAAGUCUGGACGGUCAACACAGCAUAAACCAAAAGUCUCCAAUGCGGAUGCAAAAGCUGAUAAAGAUGACACUAAGAGUCUCAUUUCAGUGAAGGGGAAGAAACGUAAAAGUCAGCUUGGGACUGAGAUUCAGGACAAGGAAAAAAGAUCAUCACAUAGUCUACUAGUGUUGCAGUUUCCUUUGCCACUGAAGAAGCAACUUGUGGAUGAUUGGGAGUUUGUUACGCAGAUGGGUAAGCUUGUGAAGCUACCACGAUCACCUACUGUUGAUGAUAUUCUAAAGAAGUACUUGGAACACCGGGCAAAGAAGGAUGGCAAGAUAAAUGACUCCUAUGCUGAGAUUCUGAAAGGAUUACGCUGCUACUUUGAUAAAGCAUUGCCUGCAAUGCUUUUAUAUAAGAAAGAGCGAGAUCAGUAUGCUGAAGAAGUUAAAGGUGAUGUCUCACCAUCAACUGUAUAUGGAGCUGAGCAUCUAUUGCGCCUUUUUGGAGAGCCUUAAGUUUAUGGAGGGGAAAAAAGCAAAAUGGUCUGCCACCGUCCAAAUUUCCAGUUCAUAAUUUGAUCUGCACUGGAAAUGGUAACAGAUAAAAUGCUUCCACAAAGUAAACUGAAAACAAAUAGAAACUUAUGAAUAAUAGCUUUUCCCUAAAUUAUAUUCUGUUUGCCAUACUACUAAAAUUACCUACUUGAAAUUUUAUAGUAUCCUAUUAAACUGCUCAGGAUUUUAUUUUAGUCUUUUGUGUUCUUUAGGCGUUUGAACUUUUGAAAACCGAAGUCCACUGCUGAUCGGUAAUACUAAUACUAAUACAUGAUGAUAUGUGGGUGAGUGGGAAACAGUCCAUAGAUCGGAUCCCCUUCAGAUGAAUUAUGGGGAUGUUUAUGUGCUUGGUCAUAAUGAAUGGACCAUGUCGAUACAGUAAUUAGCCCACAAGGCUUCAGUUCAAGAAGACAACCCAAAAAAUAGAAACAUGACAAGUUGAUUUGUUCUUCAGCACAUGAUAUUCCUAUCUAGUAAUCUAAUGACUACUAUAAUUGAUAUAGCUUGGUUAUAUGGCUACUGUGUGAUUGUCACCAACCCAAGCGUGUUGAGUAUGUUACCUUGUCAUGCCCUUCUGUACAUAAUAAAAAAAAUCUUAAAUUGCUGACUUGCAAGUUUGCAGUAAAAUUGCCAGAGCUACUUGCUUCUGUCAAUAUGGAGGAAGAUGCGUUGAACAAGCUACAGCUGAAACUGCUGGACGUUCUCAAGUUUCUUCAGAAGAAUCAGAUCACCUUCUUUACCUCUGCGUACGAUGGUUCUUGUAAAGGUGCAGAUGAGGAUAAAACCAAAUGAUUGCAUGUGAACGUUUUAUAUCAUGUAACAUCUUUCGAUGGACUUGUCUGGCACUAUUGUUGAUAUGAAUGUCGCUUAGGACAACAAUCGGUUUAUGUAGGAUAGAUGCUGCAGAUUCCUGAAAGACGGUACUUGAACUGCCCGGAGCAUGUUGUAUUUUCUUAAGAUGCUGGAACUAAGACGGCUUAGUUGAAUUUUCACUAUCAAGUGAGUCUCGGUCUUGCCCCAAAAAGAAUGUUUUGUA
Zea mays is the source of this 2104-nucleotide RNA transcript. RefSeq lists it as uncharacterized. The transcript is spliced from 11 exons. The record is from RefSeq and is marked provisional. NCBI's taxonomy places the organism in Eukaryota, Viridiplantae, Streptophyta, Magnoliopsida, Poales, Poaceae.